RNAcentral lists this long non-coding RNA (217 nucleotides) under Capsicum annuum. RNAcentral's name for it is "long non-coding RNA (CANN_LNC002083)". Lineage: Eukaryota; Viridiplantae; Streptophyta; Magnoliopsida; Solanales; Solanaceae. The record is from RNAcentral.
CAUGAAUGUCCAACCGCUACCUUGAGUAAUCUGAAGGUGCAAGAAAUCAAUCAGUCUGAGGUGCACCCAAACCUAAAGUAGCACCAAAAGGGUGAAGUAGGAGUGAGUACUGUCCACUUGUACUCAGUAGGUAUCAAAGGCCGACCGAGCAAAGUAGAAAAUAAAGCAUACAAAAUACACACUAAUGGCACGUCACCUGCAGUUAGAAAAUGUCCCA